GAUAAACUUGACCUCAAAUCAG
RNAcentral lists this ribosomal RNA (22 nucleotides) under Inosperma aff. latericium TR135_05. RNAcentral describes it as "partial large subunit ribosomal RNA". The record is from RNAcentral. Lineage: Eukaryota; Fungi; Basidiomycota; Agaricomycetes; Agaricales; Inocybaceae.